AUUGAACGCUGGCGGCAUGCUUUACACAUGCAAGUCGAACGGCAGCGCGGGCUUCGGCCUGGCGGCGAGUGGCGAACGGGUGAGUAAUACAUCGGAACGUGCCCAGUAGUGGGGGAUAGCUCGGCGAAAGCUGGAUUAAUACCGCAUACGACCUGAGGGUGAAAGCGGGGGAUCUUCGGACCUCGCGCUAUUGGAGCGGCCGAUGGCAGAUUAGCUAGUUGGUGGGGUAAAGGCCUACCAAGGCGACGAUCUGUAGCUGGUCUGAGAGGACGACCAGCCACACUGGGACUGAGACACGGCCCAGACUCCUACGGGAGGCAGCAGUGGGGAAUUUUGGACAAUGGGCGAAAGCCUGAUCCAGCAAUGCCGCGUGUGUGAUGAAGGCCUUCGGGUUGUAAAGCACUUUUGGCGGGAACGAAAAGGACUGUGCCAAUACCACGGUUCGAUGACGGUACCCGCAGAAUAAGCACCGGCUAACUACGUG
Molecule: ribosomal RNA, 484 nt
Filed under: uncultured bacterium
Lineage: Bacteria
Description: partial 16S ribosomal RNA
Rfam family: Bacterial small subunit ribosomal RNA
Source: RNAcentral